GUCCACGCCCUAAACUAUGUCAACUGGUUGUCGGGGAAGCAAUUCCUUGGUAACGAAGCUAACGCGUGAAGUUGACCGCCUGGGGAGUACGGCCGCAAGGUUAAAACUCAAAGGAAUUGACGGGGACCCGCACAAGCGGUGGAUUAUGUGGAUUAAUUCGAUGCAACGCGAAAAACCUUACCUACCCUUGACAUGUACGGAAUCUCGCAGAGAUGUGAGAGUGCUCGAAAGAGAACCGUAACACAGGUGCUGCAUGGCUGUCGU
This 264-nucleotide ribosomal RNA is filed under the name uncultured bacterium. Its description in RNAcentral is "partial 16S ribosomal RNA". It matches the Rfam family "Bacterial small subunit ribosomal RNA", at positions 793 to 1055 of the family's 1533-position model. The record is from RNAcentral.